Molecule: long non-coding RNA, 770 nt
Filed under: Betta splendens (Siamese fighting fish)
Lineage: Eukaryota; Metazoa; Chordata; Actinopteri; Anabantiformes; Osphronemidae
Description: lncRNA (ENSBSLG00000004854.1)
Source: RNAcentral
AUGAGGAGCUUAUUUAUUUAUUCUUUUUUUAUUUCAGCAGAGACGCAUUCUUCACCCGGCUCUAUUGGGUUACAUGGUGAGAAUGUGGUGCCAAAUGAUGCUCGAUGGAGAACAAGGAGCAGAUUAGCCUUGGAGGGCGAACAGCACGUGGACUCAUUCAAAUGUCUCGUCGAGGAAUACAAUAAAAAAUACAAAACUAUAGAGGCUGUUAAAAAGGACUGGCUCGGGCAGAUACAACAACCUUGAGAGGCAGAAAAUGUUGGAAGAAGCAACAAUGUUUAUACAUUUGAGUAAAAAAAAAAGCAAUGAAGCCAUUGUAUAAGCACAGCUCAACCUAUUAUGCUUUUCCCCAGUUUGCCAUGGCAACAGCAUUUUCAACUGUUCUGUUGAAAUCUUUCAAUUUGCCACUGUGUUUGACCUCAGCUCAUAAUAAGUUAAAAGUUUUAAGUGCCUUCCUAUUAGUGCCAUAAAGAACCAGCCAUAAAUGCAUCUACCGCUGCAACUAUACAAUGAGUGACACAUCAUCUCCCUGCUCCUGCGCUUACAGUGCGUCAUCGUUUAUGAUUACUCCAAAUUAAACUCGUGUUAAAACACUGUUUUCCUACUUUGUCAUGCUUAUUUUUGGUCAGUAUAGAGCAGGCACUGAACACCGGCCAGCAACCUGCUACCUCACACAUUAUUUGCCCUUCAAUACCUGACUGAACAGGUACAGUAGCAUGAGCACUUGAAUAUAUCUUUUGUUCAGUACUGCCCCUUAGCUUGGGUCUCAG